GAAAUGCGAUACGUAAUGCGAAUUGCAGAAUUCAGUGAAUCAUCAAAUCUUUGAACGCAACUUGCGCUUCUGGGUAUCCCUGGAAGCAUACCUCUCUGAGUAUCGUUUCAACACAAACUCGACUGCGUACUUUUCGAAGUAUUUGAUGUGUCGGUGAAUGAGUUGUCUCAGUGUGGAAGCAUUGAGUCACUUGAAGCGAAUAGCACUUCUCUAUCAAUUCGUUCAGGUUUUUCGAAGCUUGACUUAUUGAUGUUCGAUAAUUGACCCUAUGGUCAUUUACUAUCACAUCGAUGAGUAGAAUUUUGAAUAGAAGAGUGUCAAAACAAGGAACCUGAAGAGUUGAUUCUCUUCUGAUCUUGAUCUCAGAUGAAGUAAGAGAACCCGCCGAAUUUAA
RNAcentral lists this unclassified non-coding RNA (394 nucleotides) under uncultured fungus. RNAcentral's name for it is "sequence contains ITS1". The stretch from base 1 to 105 matches the Rfam family "5.8S ribosomal RNA", at positions 50 to 154 of the family's 154-position model. The record is from RNAcentral. Lineage: Eukaryota; Fungi.